Molecule: ribosomal RNA, 301 nt
Filed under: uncultured bacterium
Lineage: Bacteria
Description: partial 16S ribosomal RNA
Rfam family: Bacterial small subunit ribosomal RNA
Source: RNAcentral
CAGUCGCCACGGUAAUACGAAGGGGGCUAGCGUUGUUCGGAAUUACUGGGCGUAAAGCGCACGUAGGCGGAUAUUUAAGUCAGGGGUGAAAUACCGCAGCUCAACUGCGGAACUGCCCUUGAUACUGGGUAUCUUGAGUAUGGAAGAGGUUAGUGGAAUUGCGAGUGUAGAGGUGAAAUUCGUAGAUAUUCGCAGGUACACCAGUGGCGAAGGCGGCUAACUGGUCCAUAACUGACGCUGAGGCACGAAAGCGUGGGGAGCAAACAGGAUUAGAUACCCCAGUAGUCCCUGUCUCUUAUAC